GUGGUACCGUCAGUCAUGUGCAUUUUAAUACACACAAGGUUCUUCCCACUUGACAGAGCUUUACGACCCAAGGCCUUCAUCACUCACGCGGCGUUGCUGCGUCAGGGUUUCCCCCAUUGCGCAAAAUUCCUCA
This 133-nucleotide ribosomal RNA is filed under the name uncultured bacterium. RNAcentral describes it as "partial 16S ribosomal RNA". The record is from RNAcentral.